Molecule: ribosomal RNA, 301 nt
Filed under: uncultured bacterium
Lineage: Bacteria
Description: partial 16S ribosomal RNA
Rfam family: Bacterial small subunit ribosomal RNA
Source: RNAcentral
CAGCCGCCGCGGGAAUACGUAGGGUGCAAGCGUUAAUCGGAAUUACUGGGCGUAAAGCGUGCGCAGGCGGUUAUAUAAGUCAGAUGUGAAAUCCCCGGGCUCAACCUGGGAACUGCAUUUGAGACUGUAUGGCUAGAGUGUGUCAGAGGGGGGUGGAAUUCCACGUGUAGCAGUGAAAUGCGUAGAUAUGUGGAGGAAUACCGAUGGCGAAGGCAGCCCCCUGGGAUAACACUGACGCUCAUGCACGAAAGCGUGGGGAGCAAACAGGAUUAGAUACCCCCGUAGUCCCUGUCUCUUAUAA